GGGGGUGACAUGGCUUCGACGCCGGUUAUGAAGCCUGCAGGGGCAUGCGGAGAGGGUGACAUCUCUCGUUAAUCAAAGUCACAAGCAACAUAGUCGCAAACGACGAAAACUACGCACUGGCAGCUUAAUACCUGCCUACGACUGAAGCUGCCUGCCUAUGGGCGGUGGACGUCGGCGCAAAAAACAUAGGAUCGCAAGAGCGCCUUGUCUCGUGGCACUCUGUUAAAAAAUAGAGGAUCGCCUUCUGCUCCCUGUCGCUCGGGCCGUAGCGGGUUAAAUCAAUAGAGACGACUAAGCAUGUAGAACCGAGGGUAGAGUGCUGACGGACGCGGGUUCGAUCCCCGCCACCUCCACCA
Molecule: transfer-messenger RNA, 356 nt
Filed under: bacterium
Lineage: Bacteria
Rfam family: transfer-messenger RNA
About the family: Bacterial tmRNA, also known as 10Sa RNA or SsrA, is named for its dual tRNA and mRNA-like properties. Its role is to liberate the mRNA from a stalled ribosome.
Source: RNAcentral